This 341-nucleotide unclassified non-coding RNA is filed under the name soil metagenome. RNAcentral describes it as "partial contains 5.8S ribosomal RNA, internal transcribed spacer 2, and large subunit ribosomal RNA". The stretch from base 1 to 120 matches the Rfam family "5.8S ribosomal RNA", at positions 35 to 154 of the family's 154-position model. The record is from RNAcentral.
GAUGAAGAACGUAGCGAAAUGCGAUAAGUAAUGUGAAUUGCAGAAUUCAGUGAAUCAUCGAAUCUUUGAACGCACAUUGCGCCCUUUGGUAUUCCAAAGGGCAUGCCUGUUCGAGCGUCGUUUGUACCCUCAAGCUUUGCUUGGUGUUGGGCGUCUUGUCUCUAGCUUUGCUGGAGACUCGCCUUAAAGUAAUUGGCAGCCGGCCUACUGGUUUCGGAGCGCAGCACAAGUCGCACUCUCUAUCAGCAAAGGUCUAGCAUCCAUUAAGCCUUUUUUUCAACUUUUGACCUCGGAUCAGGUAGGGAUACCCGCUGAACUUAAGCAUAUCAAUAAGCGGAGGA